UGGAAGGACACACGCACACAUACACACACGC
RNAcentral lists this non-coding RNA (31 nucleotides) under Mus musculus (house mouse). The record is from RNAcentral. Lineage: Eukaryota; Metazoa; Chordata; Mammalia; Rodentia; Muridae.